Long non-coding RNA from Etheostoma cragini (Arkansas darter), 238 nucleotides. RefSeq lists it as uncharacterized. The transcript is spliced from 3 exons. The record is from RefSeq and is a predicted model, not a curated record. Lineage: Eukaryota; Metazoa; Chordata; Actinopteri; Perciformes; Percidae.
UGCAUUCAUUUAGAAAUAUGAAGAAAAAAGAUCAGUAUAGAAAGACAUAAAGUAUGCAAACAAAGUAUCCUAUACCCCAAAAUUAUAUACAAAUAUUUAAAACGGAAAGCAUGCAGCCAAGAACCUCUCCCCUUUAUUAGUUAUUCAUCAACUAUUUAAUAAAUCUAAUCAAAUAUAGAAGCAUAACAGAAUGAGUUGUAAAAUUGCACACAAUUCAACAAUAAUUAAAUUUUGUUUU